AAAGACAGCUUCACGCUGAAGUGGCGGCGCCCUGAGGAGACUGGAGGCGAUGAUGAUGUCACUUACACCGUGCGAUACCGCGUGGAGAAAGAUAACAAGAAAGGCCCGUGGAUAACAUACACUACGAAAGGACUAGAGUAUGACUUCAGCGAUCUGGACAACAAAGUCCAGUACAAGUUUGAGGUGAUCGCCACAAACAAAGGAGGAGAAAGCUUGCCUGGAGAGAGAUACAUCCAGACAAACUUCCCAGGAGAACGCAGUUUAGAGUCCCGCCUCCUGUCCAGUGUCGUUCUAACCCUUUUUGCUGGAGGGUUUCUUCUGCUGCUUUGACAUCAUGAACGCUGAAUGCAAACAAACGCUUCAUCGUAAGAGACUUUCCGCAAGGACAUUUGAACGAAAUAGAUUUUGUAAUACAUUUAUUAUAAGAGACAUUGAGGGCGCACUGAUUUAUACAACUACCAUACUUGAACCCAAUAUUACGCUGAAUAUUAGGCUUUCGGGCCUGUCAGGUAGCUUUUUCGAACCGAAUCUGAGUCCGCAGUUGUCGUUUCUGGUCAGUGAAAUUGCUAGGAAACCACUGACUUCUUUUCUGGCCAAUCUAACGCGUGAAUAUUUGCAUAACUGGCCGAGUUUGAUUUGAUGAUAGGUCAAGGUUCCCCCGUUUGAAAUGGUACUAGCUCCUUAAACAGAACUCGUCCAACUUAAUUCGAGUAAAUUUAAUGCUAGUGUUCCUUAGUGUGAUGAAAUAAUAUAUAAUCAUGUCAACGUUAAGCGCGUGGUUUUCUAUCCAUUGUUGGUGCACUUGGAACUUUUUAAACGUAACAUUCUUGCCGUAUUUAAUAGGGCAUUCCUCAAGAGUGUGACGUACAUGUAGCAAACAAUUGAUACGUGUCACGCACUGUCACAUUGCGUGACGUCCAAUUGACGGAUGCGAAGGAUGUUUUCAAGGUGGAGACUUCCUAUUUUCUCGUUGCGUGAAACUGGGGUGGUGAUUUUCCUGUUUUCGAUGUAGGGAGCAAAUUUGAUGUCUAUAAACAUGAAUACUGUGACACACAAACAUGAAAUGAUUGAUAAUUUUCGUAUUCUGUGGAUACAGAAGACGUUUUGUAAGAGUGUUAGGUUUUAUAAAGCUGUGUUAGCCUUUCAGCGUGUCACCUCUCCCCACAUUGUGGAGGAGUUUUGUUUAGCAUAUUAUAGUAACCUACCUUGAAGAUGUAAUGUUGUCUUAGUUUAAGUAAGGCUAAUUAAGUAAAUAAAUAAAUAGAGUUCUGUAAACAGGGUCGGUUAAUUUUAAAAUCAGUCCUAGGGCUUUAAUGAUGAACAAGCCAUGUUUUGAAAAUUCUCCCUCCGAAAGCGAUCAAGACCAUUGUUAUACAGAGUGAAGAAUGCGUGACGACGAAAAAAGAACUUAGGGUUAGUUUUCAGAUUUUUUUUACAUACACCAGUUUCUUUGGUGUUACACAUUAGUAAUAAAAGAUUACUUUCAUGUUUAAGUUGCUUUAAACGCUGCUUAAAUUUUACUUGUCAAAUAACAUGUAUAUAUACAAUGCAAGACAUGGUAAUUUCUCUGUAGCAAAGGAAUAUAAUAAAAUAGUCCUGGUUAAUGAA
Molecule: long non-coding RNA, 1608 nt
Filed under: Orbicella faveolata
Lineage: Eukaryota; Metazoa; Cnidaria; Anthozoa; Scleractinia; Merulinidae
Description: uncharacterized LOC110041451
Source: RNAcentral